GAGCCGUAAAGGAAGCAUGCAUGUGAGCCGAUAUAGCCUGCACCUCACUAUACAUGAGUGACCCCUGGUUCAGAGACAGAAAACUGGCCCAAAAAAGAAGAAGCAGAAUCACCAAAUUGAAUAGAAGGGUAAGAUGGAUGUUGAUUUGAAUACCAAAUAAUAGCAAAAAAAGAAAAAAAAAAUUUAAACUGAAAAUAAUACAUCCUAUCUUUUAUAAAUUCCCCCUUGUAAAUCCUUAUAGUUUUCUUUCAUCUAUUUUCUUUCUUUCUUUCUUGUAUCCCUCUG
RNAcentral lists this long non-coding RNA (285 nucleotides) under Lotus japonicus. Its description in RNAcentral is "long non-coding RNA (LJAP_LNC000621)". Lineage: Eukaryota; Viridiplantae; Streptophyta; Magnoliopsida; Fabales; Fabaceae. The record is from RNAcentral.